CGAGGGAACUCAGAAGCUCUAUUUCUCUAGUUUGUUCACCUGCUACGCAUCGUUACUGAAGCGGUCUAGGUUUAUGAAGUCUGCCCAGUAGCUUCUCGACGAUUUUUGCGUCUACUUGAAUCGAAUCCUCCACCGCCUAACUGAUGUAGUUUUCGGGCCAAAGAUCAAACGAUUCCUCAUGACCUCAAGAUGAAAUUAUUUCUCUAGGAUGCUUCUGUUUUUCUUGCAGUUUAGAGAAUUUUCUUUCAUUAGAAAGCUUGAAUGGCAUGAAAAAACUGAUAGAUUAUGCCACUGAAAUUCAGAAAUGUAAAGGUACGGAUAUUCCGUUUCUUUGAUCUUUCCCAUUACCUUGUACAUGUUCAGGUUGUUGGUACGCCUAAGAAACGUAAUAAUUCCAAUUUGACUAUGCUGAUUUUCCUUGUUUAACAUAUCCAUGUAAACAUUGUUAUGCAUGUGCCAUUCUAGCUUUGUGGCUGGUUUUGGAUCUCAGCAUGUGUGUGGUUCAGUUUAACUUCUUUGUGAACUUGUUAUUUAUACUUUUCUGUGAACUUGUGAUUUGGCAUUUACUUUAACUUCUUUGUGGUUCAGUUUAUGUGAUAUAGUAUGGUGCAAUUAAUGUGAUAUAGUUGUCCUUAUAAUCCUGAAAAUGUGAAACAUCAUAAUUGUUAAAUUGUGCAUAUGGUUUUACUAUUUUUUAGAUUGUUUGGAUUUAUGAGCAUCCUCUGAUCUUAGGGUGGUACGAGAAAAAUUGAAGAAUGUAUUUGAGAAUAAAGAUAAUAAUUGUGGAUCAAUGUUCGUAGCACUACAUUUGAACUCCUUGACAGUUGGUUAAAGUGGACAUGAAAAACUAGCGUUAUAAGACAUAUCAUAGGAUUGUAACAAGUACUUGUAAAAUUUUUACAUAGAUUUUUUUUGUAUAUGUAGUUGAAUAUAUGAAUAUUAAUAUAAAACAAUUCUUUCAUUUUGAAAA
This 970-nucleotide small RNA is filed under the name Malus domestica (apple). RNAcentral describes it as "sRNA MD13G0219900". The record is from RNAcentral. Lineage: Eukaryota; Viridiplantae; Streptophyta; Magnoliopsida; Rosales; Rosaceae.